CGCGUAGGCGGGAAUACAAGUCAGAUGUGAAAUCCCAGAGCUCAACUCUGGAAACUGCAUCCGAAACUGUAUUUCUUGAGGGUAGGCGGAGAAAACGGAAUUCCAUGUGUAGCGGUGAAAUGCGUAGAUAUAUGGAAGAACACCCGUGGCGAAGGCGGUUUUCAGCUUAUUCCUGACGCUGAGGCGCGAAAGCAAGGGGAGCGAACA
This 207-nucleotide ribosomal RNA is filed under the name uncultured bacterium. RNAcentral describes it as "partial 16S ribosomal RNA". It matches the Rfam family "Bacterial small subunit ribosomal RNA", at positions 568 to 774 of the family's 1533-position model. The record is from RNAcentral.